UUCGGUGGUUGCAAGCGUUGUUCGGAAUCACUGGGCAUAAAGGGCGCGUAGGCGGGGUCGCGUGUCCGGAGUGAAAUCCCGCGGUCCAACCGCGGAACGGCUCUGGAAACUGCGAUUCCGGAGGGCGUGAGGGGAGCGUGGAAUUCCUGGUGGAGCGGUGAAAUGCGUAGAUAUCAGGAAGAACGCCGGCGGCGAAGGCGACGCUCUGGUGCGCUCCUGACGCUGAGGCGCGAAAGCUAGGGGAGCAAACAGG
Molecule: ribosomal RNA, 253 nt
Filed under: uncultured bacterium
Lineage: Bacteria
Description: partial 16S ribosomal RNA
Rfam family: Bacterial small subunit ribosomal RNA
Source: RNAcentral